Lolium rigidum is the source of this 518-nucleotide long non-coding RNA. RefSeq lists it as uncharacterized. The transcript has 2 exons. NCBI's taxonomy places the organism in Eukaryota, Viridiplantae, Streptophyta, Magnoliopsida, Poales, Poaceae. The record is from RefSeq and is a predicted model, not a curated record.
UUCUUCUAUCUCUUUUAUUUAGUAUAUGCAUCUAUAUCAAAGUGAUAUAUACGACUAUCUAGAUUGAAAUUUACAUUUGUUUAGAACCCUUCCAUCAUUGUUGUUGUCGACAUGAGCACAUUUUUUUUCUGUUUUUAUUUUUGCAGGUGUUAAGGUGUGAUCCCGAGUGCGUAGGUUUGAGUGCCAUCAGUUUUUGACACUGUUGGUGAUAAGGUUUCCGUGGUUGACUAUGUGAUACAGGUAGGUCUCCAGAGCCAACGAAAAUGGAAUCUUCCUCAUAUAGAGUGUAGUGGCAUUGUCGGUGUGACCAUGGAGUUCCAAAGCCAUCAAUUCCCGUUGUAGCUCGGCAGUUCCAAUAGAAUUUUUAGUUUUUUUUUAUUUCAGUAUUCAGUAUUUGACAUUGUGUUACAUACAAGAUGCAGAUUUUAAAUUAACAAAAAAUGAUGUUGUCUAUAGUUUAUACAAAAAAUAACUGGUGGUUGCUUAUAGGUAUACUAAAUGAACAUUUAAUUUUUUUA